GUUUGCCGAUGAUGAUAAAUGUAUUAUCCCAGCUCAUUAUGAGACCUUUUUGUAGGGUCUGGGAAUUGAAUCUUAAUCCAACAUUUAUCUGAGUCUAAAC
Molecule: non-coding RNA, 100 nt
Organism: Gossypium hirsutum (cotton)
Lineage: Eukaryota; Viridiplantae; Streptophyta; Magnoliopsida; Malvales; Malvaceae
Source: Rfam